CAAAAGUUCUUAAGGAUAUCAUAGCAUAGCUCAGCAGUUACGUAACUGUAACAAAAGACACCCAUAUUGCAGUACCAUAUGAACGGAACCUUCAAAAGCGUUGCAGCUUUACUCUAAUAGUCUAGACUGCACUUUAAACUUGAUAUAAUACAGACUCGCAUAAACACAUGCAAAACAAAAACUUAUUAAAAGCCACCACCGCACACUAUAUAUAGUUAAGUUUGCUAGUGAGGAUAGACGCACUGGAGCUAUUAAGGGAAUGUGAAACUUAGGCGUGCUGGGGUUUGUCCAAGUCCUCUAGAGGGCGGAAGAAGGCCUUCUGCUCCAAAAUGGAUUCAGCAGCAGCAGCAGUGGCAGGUGAGGAGUGGAAACCACGUUCCCCACCAGCACUGUCAGUGGUUGCAGGCCCAAACACCCCAGUUUGUGGGUGAGGACCCCAGUAUUUUUCUGAUUGUGGCUCUAUCACUUCAUCCGGCACCACCGAAUCCCGCACAUGAUCCUCCGGGUUCUUGUCGUACACCGAUGUCUGCACUCCCCUCCUGCACAAUACAAUAAACUAGUACUUACUUAACCCAACUUAAUUCAUGAAUGAACAGUACAAUACAUUAGGCAUUUUAAUUAUAUAACUUCUUGAGAUUUACAUAUGCCGUGACUCAACUAAUACAGGUACAUGCAGUAAAUGUUGCCACACAUGCCCAACAUAUUUCGUGCCCAAAUAUCGGGAUACUCACGUGAUUAUGACACCUUCCAAACCGGCCAAACUUUAAUUAAACGGCAAAGUUGAACAUCUUAUAUAGGCAUCUAGUAAUAACUAAUCAAAAGUCGAUUUGCAAAUAUGCGGAAGUGAAAAGAUCAUGUUUAACCUAACAAAGAAGUAAAAAACUAAUGUAGACUACACUGCUGGCAAAAGCGUUAGUGUAGUUACAGGAAGCUAAAGGAUGCUCUAAAGAAUCUGUACACAAAUGCUGUGUCUUUUUCUUUACUAAUUAUUCUCUUCUUUUUUGAACCCCUUUAAUAGAGUUAUUAGUACUCCUUCGGGACUUGAGCUCACGACCCUGUAGGUUGUGGUGGCAAAAUGAAUAAAUUAUCCAUUCAUAUUAUCCAUCUACAAUAUGAAAAAAUAGGUCAAAUAUGUAUAAGAACCAUAUUAUCCACUUAAAAAUUGAUAACUAAUGAGUUUAACUUUUUAAUUUGUAAAGUUUCAAAUUGGGGAUUCCUUAAGUCUAGGAAUUUUCUCAAAAAUGAUCAUAUACAAGAAGAUAUGGAUAGGAUGAUUAUCCAUACUAUCUGUCAGUUCACUCAUCUUUUAUCUGUAUUUAAUAUGAGUCGUGUCGAAUAAUUUAGCCGUUUUUGUAUUAUUAAUUUUCGACCUGUCUCAUAUCUCGAUCCGCCCGUUUGUCACCCCUAAUUGUAGGUGAGGGUGCUGACCAACCCCUCAUGUCACAACGCUGUGUGUUGGAAGUAACCGCAACAAGAGGUAUAUCAUCAUUAACUUCAAUCAAGCAUACAUUUGGAUUGUUGGUCCUUAAAUUUUUUAAAAUAGCAAACACGAAAAAUGAUUGAAAAUAUCACUGGACUAGAGUUCAACCGGAUCACUAACUCCUGUUUCUGGACCACAGUAAAAUUGUUGAUAACAUUGACAUAUCACGUGAUCCACCUACCAAGAACAAAUAGUUCAACCUAAUCAUCAGCAAUAUUGUUGCUUCAAAAAGGUAAAUAACAACAACCCCACAUGUCUUGUCAAGUUCUUCUAUCUCAUCCUUUUAUCUCCAGCCUUUAUUUUGAUGAGGGCCCCUAUUGUUUUAAAUACAGACCUACUCACCUACUCCUUUUCCUAAACUUUCUUCUUUUUCCUUCCAAGUUUGGGUAAGGUUCCGGUUAGACGGUUACAUCUUACAUCCAACUCUCUUUAUUUGUUGUAGUAAAAAAUAAUACUAGUACUAUCUUAAUGUAUGUGAUACCAUUUGCUUAUUGAGAUUCAAAAUUUUUAUUUGACGGUAAAUUUGAACAUAAAUUUUAAAUUUUUAAAACUAAAAUUUACAUAUAUAGUGAUUAUAUAAAAAUAUUAUAUGUUAUAAUAAUUAAUAUUUAAAAAAUUACAAUAAAAAAAUACAAUUAAUUCUCGAACACUUCACAGGGGACGGACGGAGUAUAAAUAUCUCACCGUCAAUUACAUUGGGAAAGUUCAAUGGUUCAGAUAUUGUUACAUAUGUGUGCAAGGCAUAGGGAAUAAUAUUUAAUAUAUUUUGUGAGCGGAAAUUCCUAUGAUGCACUUUAAAAGACAAUUGGGAGAUAUUAGUGGGUGAGACAUCCUUAUCCGAUAAGCCUUCCACUUCAGCACGCAGUAUUUUAAUGUUAAGAGUUAUUAUUUGUCCUAUUAAGCAACAAGAAAAGGAAAACGUGAGUAUCAAAGUAUAACUAAAAUAGAGCUUUGGUGAAAAUAUCCUAAUCUAUAAGCCGUAAUUUUGCAUCUCUCUGCAUUCAGGAAGCAGGAUAAGGCCUGUCUCACUUGUGAGAUUUGAGAGUCAAAUGGUUACUCAACUAAAUAUUUUAAAUUUUAAAUUAUUAAAUAUUUAUUUUACCCUUUAAAUUAUAAAUAUUUAUUUUUUUUAUUUUUUUACAAACUUUUUAAUAUUAUAAUUUUUUCCUUUUGAUUUAUAUUAUAGACUUACCUAUAAAAUAAAUAAAUAUUAUUUAUAAAUUAAAAAAAAGUAUUUAAGUAUCUAUAAAGCUGGAAUAAUAAAAUAAUGAGCAUACUAAAAGAAUUAAUUAGAGUAAUUUUUUGUAAAACUUUUUUAGUAUUAACAACAAAAAUUCAGAAAUUUAUUUACACAAUUUAGAAUGAAAGAAAAUAAAUGUUAUAAAAUAUAUAUUCCAUGCACAUAAUAUAAAAAUAAUUAUUUACGUAAAAAUAUUUUUAUAAUAUACAUUAUAUAUUCUUGAAAAUUAUGCUCAAUUAUAUUAUAUUUAUUGCAUGCACAACUUAACAUAGCAUAUUUUACCUUAUACAGAUAGCCCCCCUGCUUUUCGGUGAUAUAACUUUGUGUCUUCGAAAAGUUGGUAGAAACAUAAUAAUAUAAUUGAGCAUAAUUUUCAAGAAUAUAUAAUGUAUAUUAUACCUUUAUUUAAAUAAUUAUUUUUAUAUUACUUGCAUGUAAUAUAUAUUUUACAUCCUUUAUUUUCUUUCAUUCUGAAUUGUGUAAAGAAAUUUUGAAUUUUUAUUGCUAAUACUGAAAUUAUUAUUACUGACAAAAUAUUCUAAUUAAUUUUUUACUAUGCUCAUUAUUUUGUUAUUCCAGCAUUAUAUAUGCUUAAAUACUUUUAUUUUUUAAUUUAUAAAUAAUAUUUAUUUAUUCUAUAAGUCCCUAAUAUAAAUUAAAAAGGAAAAAUUAUAAUAUUAAAAAAAAAAUUUAGAAAAAGGAUAAAUAUUUUAAAUUUAGAGAGUAAAAUAGGUAUUUAACAAAGUGAAAUAGACAUAGUUGAAUUACUUUGUUGUUAUAAAUGAAAGUAAAAUAAUUUUAGGAGAUAAUUUGUGAUAAUAGAGCCACCAUUUAAAUAAUAUAUCUUUAGAUUUGAUGAGAUUUAAUUGGGUCUGUUAUUGUCGUAUCAAAUAGGAAAGAAAUCAGAAUAGAAAAUCGCAAGAUAGAUUAGUGAAUUUCCGAGAAAAUAUAUCCCAUGACAAAUCGGACAAAAAAAUAUCAGCUAGCUAGAAGACGACGUAAUGCGGUACCAGAAUCCAUGGUUGCUAGAUCUAACAAACAAACUAAAACUGGUAAACGUAAAUUUAGCUACCACAAGCUGUAAAUCUAGUUGAACUGAUCUCGUAUUCUGGAAAUUAAACCAUUAACCUUAUAUCCUUCAGAACUUAGCAGAACUGUAAAUCUAAUUGAACUGAUCUCGUAUUCUGGAAAUUAAACCAUUAACCUUAUAUCCUUCAGAACUUAGCAGAUAGCUAGCAUGAUUUUCACAGAAUUUAAACCAAAAAUUUUCGUCUAAACCAACAACAUGCUCUAGAAAGCAAACACUGAUCAAUAGGUAAAUAAGCAGCCGUAAAAGGACAAAACAACAUACAGACAGAAAUUUAGAAGUAAUACCUGCCAGAGAGUGAAGGUGAGUUAGCAGAAGUUCGACCACUAGCGUAGCUUAUCUGGUUCA
This 4155-nucleotide long non-coding RNA is filed under the name Nicotiana benthamiana. Its description in RNAcentral is "long non-coding RNA (NBEN_LNC018353)". The record is from RNAcentral. Lineage: Eukaryota; Viridiplantae; Streptophyta; Magnoliopsida; Solanales; Solanaceae.